AUGAGGACCCACAUUUUGGGGUUUUUCCCCUCCAAAAUCGACCCCAAUAUUGGGGUUUUCACCCCAAAAAUGAGGACCCACAUUUUGGGGUUUUUCCCUUCCAAUAUGGACCCAAUAUUGGGGUUUUUCUGUCCAGAAGGGACCCAAUAUUGGAGCUUUUCACCCCAAAAUGAGGACCCACAUUUUGGGGUUUUCCCUCCAGAAGGGACCCCAAUAUUGGAGCUUUUCACCCCAAAAAGGAGGACCCACAUUUUGGGGUUUUUCCCCUCCAGAAGGGACCCCAAUAUUGGAGCUUUUCACCCCAAAAUGAGGACCCACAUUUUGGGGUUUUUCCCCUCCAGAAGGGACCCCAAUAUUGGAGCUUUUCACCCCAAAAAUGAGGACCCACAUUUUGGGGUUUUUCCCCCCAAAAAUGAGGACCCAGAUUUUGGGGCUUUUCCCUCCAGAAGGGACCCCAAUAUUGCAGCUUUUCACCCCAAAAAUGAGGACCCACAUAUUGGGGUUUUUCCCCUCCAAUAUGGACCCAAUAUUGGGGUUUUUCUGUCCAGAAGGGACCCAAUAUUGGAGCUUUUCACCCCAAAAAUGAGGAUCCACAUUUUGGGGUUUUUCUCCUCCAAAAUCGAUCCCUAUAUUGGGUUUUUCCUUCCAGAAGGGACCCCAAUAUUGGAGUUUUUCACCCCAAAAAUGAGGACCCACAUUUUGGGGUUUUCCCCUCCAGAAGGACCCAAUAUUGGAGCUUUUCACCCCAAAAAUGAGGACCCACAUUUUGGGGUUUUUCCCCUAAAAUAUGGACCCAAUAUUGGGGUUUUUCUGUCCAGAAGGGACCCAAUAUUGCAGCUUUUCACCCCAAAAAUGAGGACCCAGCUUUUGGGGUUUUUCCCCUCCAAAAUGGACCCAAUAUUUGGGUUUUCCCUCCAGAAGGGACCCCAACAUUGGGGUUUUUCUGUCCAGAAGGACCCAAUAUUGGAGUUUUUCACCCCAAAAAUGAGGACCCACAUUUUGGGGUUUUUCUCCCCAAAAACGAGGUCCCAGAUUUGGGGUUUUUCCUCCCCCCUUACCUGCUCCGGAGGGAUCACCCCAAACGUGUGCACCUGUAGGGGGGGACGG
This 1107-nucleotide long non-coding RNA is filed under the name Chrysolophus pictus (golden pheasant). RNAcentral's name for it is "lncRNA (ENSCPIG00010007674.1)". The record is from RNAcentral. Lineage: Eukaryota; Metazoa; Chordata; Aves; Galliformes; Phasianidae.